GUGAAUUCAUUUUGUGUUCCCAAGCUGGAUUUGCUUGAGGGGGCUUGUGAUUUUCUGCACAUUCAACCAAGUUGAAGUAAAAGGUUCAUAUGGGAGGGUCAAUCAGCUUAGAUGCUCUAUGGUUUUGGGCAUGAGAAGAAAGAACAGGAGAGGUGUCACAAUUCAAAUUAAUUUCCUCAUUCAUAUUCAGGAGAUUAAGCCACCGACUCUUCUUUAAUGCAUUUUCUUUCUGUUAUCAGUGAAAAAUUUGAUGACUUUUAUGUUGUGUACUUAACCUGUAACUGGAUUCCAUGGUUUACGUUAUCAAUUUUCUUCUUGGUUCAUUUGUAC
Molecule: long non-coding RNA, 330 nt
Filed under: Glycine max (soybean)
Lineage: Eukaryota; Viridiplantae; Streptophyta; Magnoliopsida; Fabales; Fabaceae
Description: long non-coding RNA (GMAX_LNC001001)
Source: RNAcentral